RNA transcript from Dermacentor andersoni, 1626 nucleotides. RefSeq lists it as uncharacterized. Lineage: Eukaryota; Metazoa; Arthropoda; Arachnida; Ixodida; Ixodidae. The record is from RefSeq and is a predicted model, not a curated record.
GGAGAGUGAAAUGCAUUGUUCACUCUGUCACCAAGGAGAGAGUGAAAUGUGCUUUUCACUCUCCCCUUCAGAGAGAGAGAGUGAAAAGACUCUUGCGACAAUAGAAAAGAGAGACUCUUGCGGCAAUAGAAAACAAAACGUAGCGUAAUCUUCUGCUUCAACUGUAGGUGGCUGGCCCCUAACAUGGCAAUGUAUCAUUCAUGCACGCUGAGCAAAGAACACAUCGUUUUGCUUCUAAGAGAACAGGCCGCCGCAGUUCAAAGGAACGCGUAGCGAGCGCUCUACUUUUUCACUCGGAGUUGCUCCACCGCGCGCGCGCGCGCUCAAGAUCGCGGAACAACACAGCACCGAAAGGUGAUCCCUCCGCCGAGCAGCACAGCAGCAGCAAAGGCCAGCCAAGGGAGAUCGUAUGUCAGCCAUCUCGCGUCGCCACGAAAACACGACAGUCAUUCGUCAUGCCUUGGAUAUAACAGCAAAUCCUCCACGGCACCCGCUUUAUAUAACGCAAGAAGGCAGCUGCAAGGACACGAGGAUGUGAAAGAGCCAGUGCAGCGCGACUUCACGUAGUGCAGAGGAGCCAAUGCCAAAAAAUCAAAAUACAUUGGCAUGUUAUUUGGACAAGAAAACUAGUAUGGACAACCCAGGACGUGCAUUUCUCAGCACCCAGUCAACUGCUAAAAGUGACUCAAACACAGGCCACCAGUGGAACUCGGCUGUACCACUGCAGUGCUGCGGAAAUUGCCUUCACCAGCGGCUUUGCAACAGCUGUUUCGCAGCAUGUCGGAGACAAUGCCUACGAAAUUAUUGGCCCUGAUCAUGAGAGCCCUCAAGGGGCAAACAUCUCUGUUGCAGAAGUGAGCCCGAUACCACUUGGAAGUUACCAUGACAGAUGACACGGCAGCAAUAGAUACAGAGACUGCCAUGUCUACUGCAGCUGCAACAGUGUACGAGGCAAGCAGCAGUGCGUCAGCAUCAGCAGCAGUGUCAGAAGGAACCACACCAGGCCUGGUAGAGCAACAUGUGUGCUAUCACUGACUUUUUUUUGUAGUGGAUACAACUCAUUUGCUCAACGUACAAAAGCUUUUCACCACGACUGUGAGCCAGUGUUAUUGUGCAGCAAGUGCAAGACUAAGUUAGGUGUUAUAACACAGUACAAGCAUCACUUUAAUAUAUGCAAAUGCAAACAUAUUACAGUUGUUGCCUCCCCAGCCAGCCCACAUAGUGACAACAAUGUGGAACACAUGGUGGGACACACCUCUCCCCCAUUACAAUAUAGUAGAGACUGUCAGUGUUGUUGCUAGAUUGACUGGUCUUUGUAGGCAACUAGAAGGACAACACAGGUGUCAUAAGAUUGUUGUUGAUGUUGUUGAAGAGGUAAAAAAGAAGUUUGAUGCAGCUGAAGUGCCAACUGAUAUUGAGCAAAUCAAAAGCAACCACCUGAGAAAGCAACACUAUCGAAAUUUGGGUAUCUAUGUGCCGCCAACUCUGGUAAGAAUGGCAUAGGACAGAAGUGUGAUGAAAAUCACACAGACACUGCUGUUGCAUCACUGGCCACAGUGAGCAGCGACUUGUAGGGCAAGAGAGUCAACUGAAACUAACAUUAUGAUAUCAUGCUCCCAUGUGACC